RNAcentral lists this ribosomal RNA (459 nucleotides) under uncultured bacterium. Its description in RNAcentral is "partial 16S ribosomal RNA". It matches the Rfam family "Bacterial small subunit ribosomal RNA", at positions 338 to 795 of the family's 1533-position model. The record is from RNAcentral.
CCUACGGGAGGCAGCAGUGAGGAAUAUUGGUCAAUGGCCGGAAGGCUGAACCAGCCAAGCCGCGUGAAGGACGAAGGUGCCAAGCAUUGUAAACUUCUUUUGUCAAGGGACAAAAUCAGGCUCGAGAGCCUGACCGAGGGUACCUGAAGAAAAAGCAUCGGCUAACUCCGUGCCAGCAGCCGCGGUAAUACGGAGGAUGCGAGCGUUAUCCGGAUUUAUUGGGUUUAAAGGGUGCGUAGGCGGACGGUUAAGUCAGCGGUAAAAGCCCGGGGCUCAACCCCGGCGAGCCGUUGAAACUGGCUGUCUGGAGUUGGCGAGAGGUAUGCGGAAUGCGCGGUGUAGCGGUGAAAUGCUUAGAGAUUGCGCAGAACUCCGAUUGCGAAGGCAGCAUACCGGCGGCGAUCUGACGCUGAGGCACGAAAGCGUGGGGAUCGAACAGGAUUAGAUACCCCAGUAGUC